UUUCGAACACCAUAAAUAUUUAUAUAAUCACAUAUGUGCAUUUUAUUGGUCUUCUAAUCACAAAGAUGAUGAUAAACAUAAACCAGUGCAGCCGAAGAAGACAGUAAAAAUGGACGUCCCUGCAGAAUCAUCUUCACAUGCUUCACCUGUAUGUAUAUUCCUCAUCACUUCUUAUUAUCCUCUUCAAUUACUGUUAAUUAUCAAUCUAUAUCGUUGAUGCUGGCUGUUUAUUAUUUUAGUUUGCUGUAAUUUGUUAUGUUUUAUAUGUAUUAAUGGCUAUUGAAAAGUUACCACUGCACAACAAAAAUGAAUGAGUUGAAUUCAAAUCCGGCCAACUCGUCUCCCUUCACCCCACUCUCCUUCUUGGAAAGAGCCGCCGCCGUUUACGGCGACACUCCCUCUCUCAUCUACAACCAAACCACCUACACUUGGUCUGGUUUGCAAUAUAUUCGCUAAUCGGCAUGAUUAUGAUCAUGGCUCAAGAAAUCGCUCCCGACGUGUAUUUUCAUCUUUUAAAGAUGUCGAUGUUGAUCGUUGUUCUGAUCGAUUUGUUAAUUGUCACUGAAGAUUCCUUCUUUUCAAAUUUGUUCAUGACUGAGAUCGAAAAAACAGGUGUGAUCUUUUCAGAACACAGAUCUUCAUGUUUAUGAUUAUGUGAUGAUUGAGUGAUUUACAAUAUAUAUAUUAUUGUGAUGUGGUUCAUAUUUUAUUUUUUUAUGAUUAGGUAAAAUUGUGUAAUUGAAUCCUUCUUGUUUAGAUUGUUAUGUUUCUGUUUCGAUUUUUAUUUUCGUUUUAUCUAUUUUGUCCGAAUUUGAAGAGAUUGGAUAUGUGUAUUCAAUCUUAUACUAUAUGAUUAGUUUCAUUUUACGUGUUAUGUAUGCUCAGUGUCCCGGAUGUUAAUUUGUCGUUCUUGGAUGGAUGGUGGCGAUGGUGGUGUAGUGGUGACGCAAUUAAUGCGCGUUGUUGAAGUUAGUUUAUUCGGAUUGACUUCUUGCAUAAAUUUAGUUUUAAUUUUAUAAUUUUGGAUAUACUUGUUUUCAAUAGUAGUAUUUAUUGAUCAUGAUUUUAGUUUUUUAAAUGACAAGUUGACUCUCUUAAUUUGUUUAUCUUUAAAAUUUGAAUUUUCACUAAAUGUUUUGAUUCGAUUUUUUGGGUGUUCAUUACAAGAUUAAUUGUUGAUAGUAUCUUUAUUGGUGAUUAUUGUACCUGAAUUUCAUAAUUCAUGGGGAUCAUUUAAGAUGAUUUUAUUGUGCCUUGAUAAGGUAUUAUUGUGCCUUUAAGAGCUGAUUGAUUGAUUGGCGUAUACCAAAUUCAAAUUGUGUUGAUAAUAAUUAUUAGCUAUAAUCUUGUUUUAUUUGUUUCCCUAGAUUUUUCCUUGUAUAUGUGUAGGUAUAUCUUAAAUAUUUUCCCAAAUUUAUAUUAUAUUUUCUUUAUUAUUUUUAAAUAUUAAUUAAUAUUAUUUGUCAGUUAUUUUCUGGUGAGAUUUAUUUUUAUUAUGUAUUAUGUUAUUAGAAAUCUAACCAAAGAGAUCUCUUAUCCUAACAAAAAAUUUAAAUUUUAGUUUAUGUAUUUUUGUCCUCAAAAGGAUAGAUUAGUAUUUAGUAUGUUUCUGUGGUAUUGUGUGUCUAACCAAAGUUCUUACUUUGGUUAGACAUUAUAACUUUUCAUUUGUAUCAUAUUUUUAUAGUUCCUAAUUAUACUCUUACGUUUGAAUAAGUUGUUAUUUUAUUAUGUUUUUUUGUUUAGGAAUUAUAUGUCAUAAUUGGUUUUAGUUCCCCCCACAUAUUUUUUACUUAAUUUAUCAUUCUUAUAUUUCUUUUUGUUUACUUUGAUUAUCAGGAACUUGGAAAAAGACUUUACGGGUUUUCUUUUCGGACUUUAAAGUCUUAUUAUCUAAACGUCCGGAGAUAUCUUUGCGUAUCUUUCGAUUAGAUGAUAAACUUUAUUGAAUGAAAGUAUUCCCUGAAGCGGCUUAUUGUAUCUAUGAUACAACUCAUCUACGAGUAUGUAGAUCCCUGACAAAAAAAAAAAAAAAAGAAGAGUAUCAAUUCAAAUUAUUUUAGAAUUUCCAAAAUUUUGUACUAGAGUCUUUAAUCUUCUGUUACAUUCAAUUUUAUACGUAUUUUUCAAUACUCG
This 2136-nucleotide long non-coding RNA is filed under the name Daucus carota (carrot). RNAcentral describes it as "long non-coding RNA (DCAR_LNC001722)". The record is from RNAcentral. Lineage: Eukaryota; Viridiplantae; Streptophyta; Magnoliopsida; Apiales; Apiaceae.